Molecule: ribosomal RNA, 778 nt
Filed under: Kocuria tytonicola
Lineage: Bacteria; Bacillati; Actinomycetota; Actinomycetes; Micrococcales; Micrococcaceae
Description: bacterial SSU rRNA
Rfam family: Bacterial small subunit ribosomal RNA
Source: RNAcentral
UAAUACGUGAGUAUCCUGCCCUUGACUCUGGGAUAAGCCUGGGAAACUGGGUCUAAUACUGGAUACGACAUGUUACCGCAUGGUGGUGUGUGGAAAGGGUUUUACUGGUUUUGGAUGGGCUCACGGCCUAUCAGCUUGUUGGUGGGGUAAUGGCUCACCAAGGCGACGACGGGUAGCCGGCCUGAGAGGGUGACCGGCCACACUGGGACUGAAACACGGCCCAGACUCCUACGGGAGGCAGCAGUGGGGAAUAUUGCACAAUGGGCGGAAGCCUGAUGCAGCGACGCCGCGUGAGGGAUGACGGCCUUCGGGUUGUAAACCUCUUUCAGCACGGAAGAAGCGAAAGUGACGGUACGUGCAGAAGAAGCGCCGGCUAACUACGUGCCAGCAGCCGCGGUAAUACGUACGGCGCAAGCGUUGUCCGGAAUUAUUGGGCGUAAAGAGCUCGUAGGCGGUUUGUCGCGUCUGCUGUGAAAGCCCGGGGCUUAACCCCGGGUGUGCAGUGGGUACGGGCAGACUUGAGUGCAGUAGGGGAGACUGGAAUUCCUGGUGUAGCGGUGAAAUGCGCAGAUAUCAGGAGGAACACCGAUGGCGAANGCAGGUCUCUGGGCUGUUACUGACGCUGAGGAGCGAAAGCAUGGGGAGCGAACAGGAUUAGAUACCCUGGUAGUCCAUGCCGUAAACGUUGGGCACUACGUGUGGGGAACAUUCCACGUUUUCCGCGCCGUAUCUAACGCAUUAAGUGCCCCCGCCUGGGGAGUACUGCCGCAAAGCUAAA